AUCGCAAAGAUUCCGGGGGAUCCUUCCUGGUGACUAAGGAAUGAUUCGUAUAGACUUUGUUUCAGUAGCUUCCGUAAAUCUGGACUGAAGGACUGCGCGCCACUGCCUCCUCAUUUCAAAUUGCCCGCCAGACUGAUGUUAUGUCUCUGUGGAAAGGGAACGGUCGUCUCAACAGCAGCUGGGCGCCUGCCUGCUCUUGUCUACCCAUAGAAGAGGCAGACGCACGCAUGGCUAACGGGAAAGGUAAACUCGGCAACAACUGAUCACGUUUGUUCAUCUAUCCGAAGUCAGUCGAAAGGAAGUACAGACAUGUUCCUUAGUCGUUGCAUUCGUUCCCGUCGCUGUUAUUGCUCAUGAUGCGUCGUCUCAGCGAAACUUCGGCCAGAGUGCCCUCCUCCUUUUGCUUUGGUUGGACGACGAGGAAUCCAAUUCGAACGAAGACUUGAAACACCAGGGCGCCGCACCGUCUCGGGGGGUGUACUGUAAUCAAAGUAACACGAUAUGAUUCGCAACGAAAUAAUCUGGAGAGAAGGACGCUCAGAACCAAACGUUCGGUCAGAGUGGAAUGAGUCGCGUGCUAGUGAAUGAACGAUUACUGGCGAAGCAAGGAGGGUGUAGUCUUUGCCGCUGUGCAAUAAUAACAACAUUAACAAAGAAACAACCGGAUCGGGGGCGGGAACGUAGCGUGUUGACGUGCCGCCACGGGUGGUACCGGCACAGAUGGUGUAACAUUGGCUAGUGCAUGCUAAGCGCUCGAACGUGGUUGUUCCACAGCUGUGCGUGGUUUAAUGCAUUUGACGACGCACGUUCGUAAGGUUCCAAGAUGGGUUUUCCUUGCAUAGAAUAGAUCGAGGUGAACUUCGCAUGCAGGAAAAGCUUUUCCGUGACAAGAACUCUGAGUUGUGCAAGUGCUUGUUAAGAGGCGGGGUUUCGAGCUGGAUUAUAUGGGGUACCAUUGGUUUCUCAAAGUUCUGCUAGUGAUUUGAACCACUUCAUCUGUUGAAGUUCUUCCGCUCGGCGACAGGGAUAAGCUGUGGCGUUCAUGACUCAUUUGUCAUCAGGAGUAACCUAUUAGCUUGUGAUUAUAUCAGAUAAAAUGGCCAAUAGAACAUCAACUCUUUAAUGUGCGCUUUGACGUUGGGAGCUUGUACUGGGCGGCAUUAGAAGAAAGGCGCUCUUACUGUUAUUAACGUGAUGUGCAUCGCAUCAGUCUAAUACUUGCAGAUAGAAGCAGCGAUCUGAAGCGAAAAAGGAUUGAUCGUUAGUACGCUAUUAAUAAUAUAUAAAACGGAUAUAGAAGAAGUCGCAGCAUUUGUUAACUGAGCCGGCCACAGUAUCGGUACCAUAUAGCUAAGCAAGACGAAAAUACCACUUCAUAAGAUCUCGCACUACCCAUCGUUGUCCGAACUCUAACUAGACCGAACCGACCUAAGGAUGGCCUCUGCCACCAAUGGUUCCGUUCGACCCAGCUCCGAGCAGUCAACACCAUUAUCGUCACGGCACUCCACCACAAUCAAUGGCCACAUCUGUAGUCGAGUGCCUGCUUUAUCAACUAGAAAGCUUCCGGAGGGCCACAGCACUGCGUACGACAACAGUUAUCAACAAGAACCUAAGCAUAAUCAGAAGCUUGGAGAGGACCAAGAAAAUUCUUCAGUUACUGACGGUGGCGCUUACCCUAAGUCUCUUGCUCUGACAGCACAAAGUCGAAGACCGAAAUCGAUCCUACAAUUACAAGCUGACCCUAGUUCAACCUCGAACCAUUUCGACCCUCGGAUACACAACAGUCCCUUGCGUAAGCGACAGGCUCAUGAUGCUGUCACAUCAGUGUGUAUGCUCGUUUUCGUCCCCACGGCAAUUGUUAUCUUUUUGGUUUACCUCGUAAUGCUUUGUAGAUACUACUCAUGUGUAAGGAAUACUCUUAAGCUAGUGGCAGCCCUGCUCGAGGCCGUCGUUUGGUCCCGACCCAUGAGGAUGUUUUCGGAAUUGGCGGGAAUCCCUGUGGCCCUAGGAAUUGCUGUCUCAAUGUACUAUCUCGUCAUAUUCUAUUUCAACAGCGAUGUGCCUGGGGUGCGGCCCCCGCUACCGCAUAUCAGCUGGAAAACAGGGAUUCGGGCAGAUCCCAAUUACAGCUUCGGACUACUACUGGGUUUCAUUUGCUUAGUUUUCUACUCAAUUCCAGAUAUUUUACUGUUUCAUUCAGCAAGAAUCUACAAUAGCGGCUGAACUGUGAAGCAAUAAAAAAUUUACGUGGAGCUAAGGUUGCACACAACCUAAAAUUCCAUGGAUCGACUUUAGAGAAUAUAAGCAUGCAUGCAAAAAAUACGCUUGACAAAGAUUUCGGAAGACAACGAAGAAAAAUGCAAGCAAAUCAAGUUGGUAGAGAAACAUGUAAUAGCUAUCAGGGCAAUGUAAAUGGCCGUUGAAACCAGCACAAAAGCAAUGUAAUUUCUACAACUGUCAAUAGCUCAAAAAUACUUUAUAUGUAUAUAUAUACAUAUGUACACUACCAGAGCAACAGAAGUGAAUUAGCUACUUAACUUAGAUAACCUCUAUAAAAUCAUGCCGUUAUUCAGGCACUGUAAUAUUAUGUAAAUAAAUGAUACUCAGAGCUACCCGUUCCAAGCAAAACAAUAAUAAAAUCUAUAGCAUUACACAAAGCUAACCAAAGCUAUUCACAACAGUUUCAGUAUUUAACUGAGUCAUAUGGAACGCAAAAACCGCACAAAUCUACAGUAUAUAUAUAUAUAUAUAUAUAUAUAUAUAUAUAUUGUUCAAUUGCACCACCGUGUGAGACACGCUUAAGACGGGGCAAAAAUUUACUUUUGCUAUGAGUUCUAUUAUGAAAUAAAGGUAACAAUCUGUAAAGCUCUGAAAAAAACAUAGACGCAAUGCGCAGUGGAGUGCUAUACGAGCACAAUUUUAGAGAUAUCCGCUAUCAUAGAGAUAAUCUGUUUAUCUAGGACGUUUAACACGUUCCUCAAUGGAAUCGGACACGCCUGGGUACCAGCCUGAGCAAGUGAAGCCACUUGUAGCUAUUGCCGACGUGAUCGUGCUAUUGUAACGUGCCUAUGCAUAGUGAACUGACCGUAUUUGACGUUGGCUUUCCCAGCUAGCUGACGUGGCAAGCGUAGAAAAGAUGCUACAGUGUAGUCCGAUUUGUCUAUGGUUGUAAAACGUAAACACUGUCAAAAAAAAUUGUCUGAACAAUGGCAGUCAUGCUUUUCUCGAAUUUAUCUGCUGAGGCAGGUGUUGCAUCGCCAAUAAAGUUCCUUUAAGUUAACUGUAAAGAGCAUGGCUUCCGGGGGACAUUCAAAACAAGUCAACUGAGAAAAAAACAAUCUAUGUGUAUUUAUGCAAACGGAAAAAGUAAUACGGGACCAGGAAAAUGUUCAAAUGAGGGGGUAAAUAGUCAUCGAAAUCUAUAUUUACCUGCUGUUACAUUGAUGGAGCCAAUAUAUGACCAGAUGGUAAACGAACAUUACACAUAUGGUAUCUAGGUCCAUAUAAAAGCGGUGCAUCUUUAGAGCCAGUAUACCUGUCUGCAUAUUGCUUAGGCGAGAAUCUUUUGCCACGAAUAUUUUCUAAAUGGCUUUACAAUUUCGACCAGAUUCAGAAGGAAUAAGGUACAACAUUGUACAUUUCAAACCUCAGUGCCUCUCUAGAUGCUGAAAGUGCUUAGACGCAGUAGAGGGUGUUUCAGUACCUUAAAAGUGAUGUUAAGUGAAGCGCACCUCUCAUGCGCAUGUUAAGACAGAAUUGCUACAGUAAGGACAAAAAAACAAAAUCCCAACUGUUAUGAGCAAAGAAAAAAUGCACAAAAAUAUCUGAGGCCGUGUGUGGGCGUUCUGUUUUGUCAAUCUUCGCUCAGUUACCUUUGAAAACGAGCUGUGUACGUAUAAACAUAAUAUUGCUUUCGGCAGUCCUUUUUACAAUUACAUCUUUACGUGUCCAUAAUGUUUUCUAAUUAUCGUAAGUAUUUCAGACUAACUAAUUAUUUAGAAUUCUAGUAUAACACUUAUUAGCGAUUUCCGUGGUGUCGGAAUAAGUUUCAUUUGUCAUUAUUCACCGAAAAAGUCUUUUUACAUUUGACCAUUAUAUCAUGCUGCUUAAUUGAUCAACAGGAUAAGGCAAAAACAAUUUGAAAUCAUUCACUUGACAGUUUUUAUGUUACAUCUGUUAAAAUAGUGACGAAGUUAAAUGUAAUGAGAAAGAUCAAUUGCAGACUGUCUGUCAAGUGCCCGUUUUCAAAGCUGUCAGGACGUUCAUGCUUUUGUCUUGUAUAUGGCUCUUCCCCACCGGCAAUUGUGGGUCUUCAAGUCUCAGUUAGUUGUUUUAGUUUUCCGUUUUAGCGAACGAAUAACGUCUAUAUAGUUAACUGCAAUAAAAUUAUAAUGCACAGCAUAGACAUUUCGUCACGGUGAUCCUAUCUGCGACAGAACGUUAAAAACUGUUAUUGUCUACGGCUACAGUAACUUGUUCUACUGUGUGUUGAAAAACAGACACAAUUAAGAUUCUACAAUAUUGCACAAGCCUUUUUUUUAUUUUCUCUAUAAAAUCAAAAACCGUACCGGUGCGCGCGAAUGCUUUUGUCAUUUGCUGGUCACCAUUUCGAGAAUAAUAAUAAAAUAAAUCUUGUAUAUUAAGUAGACGUUGCUCGGGCCUCGAACUAAUUAAAAAGAAAGAUCAGGCUCCUUGCUGUGGCAGCGUCGAGAUCUAACAAUAAAAAGAAAACAAAAUAAAGUACAUACGCGACCCUGCCUAUUUGCAUAAUUCUGGAGCUCUCAACAAAGACAACCGAACAGUCAAGAUAGAAGAACCAGUGACCGGCGUAACGCCUCACCGAAAUACCCCUUGCAGACUAAUAGAGUUUAUGGCUUGCCCUAUCGUAGCUAGAACAACUCGUUCCAACACGGCACAUAUACAUUUUGUAAAGUAAUAUAUAUCGCACAUAUGUCGCGUAGAGGAACGUAUAGUGUAUAUAGUGAAAUAAAACUAUCCAAAUACGAAUUGUUGAUGCUUUUCUAUUAGAGAUCGAAUGAUAUAAAUGAAUCAAAUACGCAGUCGGACACUGGAUUAAGUUGAUUGAACGGUCACUAGGUUGAAUUUUAAAGUUUUAGCUGCCAUUUACCAUUAAGCCACCACUAAAACCAUGGCGGAAUGGGCCUAUUCAGCGAUUUACAAUUUUUUUUCUACAAAUUCACACAGAAUUUUACGCUAUGUCUAAUUAGAAAAAGUCGUUUUUCUUUAAUGAUUUUUAUGGUUACUUUACUUAGGCACAAGUCAAAUCAGAAAAACGUUGAUAGGUUUGCCGCAAAUGAAUGUAGCCAUAUUUUAGUCGAUCGAUUUUGAUAUUGAGCGUAAACCAUUCGAUACGCGAAGUACUAAUGGUGCUCCAGCUGAUCAUGCAAAUAGCGAUCUGAACUUCGACAAUAAAACGUUCUAUGUGCUAUGGUGCAAUUCCAUUAGAUUCUAUAGUUGUUCGUAUCGUAUCGAUUUGAAGUGCUGAUACUGCAUUUCUAUGCAUUUAUAAUCGGUCAUCGUGUUCGGACAUCCUGAAGCCAGUUGUUUCAAGACCUUUGCCACUUGAAUGCAACCGGAAAGGAAACAUACGGACUUGUACCAAUCACGAUUGCGAAUACUGACAACUUAUUAACUUUCAAACGAAUCAGGCCUUUCCAAGUAAGUUUACCAAGCCUUCGUUCGUUUAGAGAAAUCGGCAAAAAUAGACUUUGUUGAAAUGGCAGGUUAAUAUUGGUCAUUAUGAAAAAUAUGCCGUUUUUCAACGUUCAAAUGUAUCCAGUAUUUUCAUGGUUAAGCCCCCGGGUUCGGGGAUGCACGGAAUACAGGUUCGGGAACGGUGACAAUAUCGCCCGAUAGCAUAAACACUUUUAAAGCUUCUUUCUUUAUCAAUACUUUUUGUUGUAUGAUAGCGUCCAUAGUCACUAUGCCUUUAUGCAUUUACCUUACAAAGAUAGUCGAAAAAAAAAACUUAACUCUUGCUUGCCCAGAUCAGUCGGCAGUUCUCAAGGCAAUAAAGUGCACUCUGCAAUUUAAUAAAUGUACGACUUUCAUGUCACUUUUAACAUUGAACAUGACCAUAAGUGUUCGAUAAUUUUGUCUUGUCCUGUUUUGUUUUCUCGUAUAUAGCACGUUCUGUAUGUAUUACUUGCGCCUGCACGUAGAUUAGCUGAGUAACACCCUAUGCAUCUAUCGACUCUAUGAAUGUUGCUAUCUGGACCGCAUUAUCAGGUAACGUUCGCAUUGUUAUAAUUAAAAAUUUGAGUAUUGAUAAAAUGCGAGUACGCUUUAACUGUACCCAGCAAUGAUAGUGAUAGAUGUAAAGUGAUUUUUAUAACAAAUGACGCCGAAUUGUCAACUAUUUGAUACGAAAAUGUGCAGCAUUUGUGUGUGCUAGUCUUGCAAGUCUCUCGCAUUUGUUAUGCGGGAAUUUCAAGCUCUUAACGCGAAUAUCUCAAACCAAUAACAGGAGUUAACGGCAGGACUCGUUUGCGAUUGUAAUGAGGUGCGAGACCUUCAAAUCUCCAUUCCUGGAAUUUGAGCCAAACUAGAAGGAUUAGAAGACUCAGUAUAUGGAUUAGUCUGAUUAGAAGAAAGGCCAUUGUACUCAUCCGAAAGCAGACGUUAAAAUCGAACAACGUAAGCGUCGAGCUGAAACUUUUCCGACGUACUGAUCAUGCCAGGGGUGCGUGAAGUGACACCUGUGUCGGCUGGAUACCUCGGUAGAGCGCGUCGUCACGAAGACGACCAACAAUGCCAAAAGUCUUCAACACUACCUUCGAUUACUUUAACAAAAGCAAGCCUAUCGCAGUCCGAGAGCACCGUAUCAGACAAAAGUGAGCAAGAGAUCGUACGACCCAAUGAUGGCUCAUCGAAUCAGAUAUACCACCCACGGAUAAAUUUGGUCAGACGUAAUGAUUCUAAACAGAGAAAGAGCAGACUAGAAUCGGGAUCAGGAAGAACAAACUCGGAGGCUGGUCACACAUCAACCCCACUUCGUCCGAUGCAACGUACUGCUUUGUCGCUGCAUUCGUGCAGCACUCUUUAUCCUCGUCCACGACACUCCAGUCUGCAGAAAAAGCAAAAUUCCUUGAUGAGCAAGCUAAUUAAGAUUGUACCCGUCGUCAUUGUGACCGCAGUCAUUUUUUGCUUAAUCCUUUAUGCGGCGACCUAUCCUGAGCGUAUUUUCUUUCUACAGAACGCAUUCAAUCUCGCCAUGGACUCGGUCCACGUGCCGAUUCGACGCGGCGUCUUUUCGAGACUUUUGAGCGUUGCCGGUAUCCCAGUCUUUGUCUCUGUUUAUUACCUUUUAGUAUUUUAUUUCAAUCGAGACGUUCCCGAAGCGCUCACAUUUGUUCCGUUUUUAAAUGGAAGAACAAAAAUUGUAGACUUACAUUUUUCUUUCAGUCUGUUAGUUGGCGGAACCGCCUGUUUCAUCUUGUUCACCAUGCCGAAUCUAGUGUUUUUCCAUAUGAAAAGAAUAUACGCGAUUGAUUAAGCUGGAAAUUAGAAAAGGAAUAGAAAAGACAAUCAGAAAGAUAUUGCUCACUUUACUACUUUUUUCUCCAUAAGAAAUACGAGGUCAUUUACGCGGCUAGGAAUAAACGAGUGGCUAAAAGUCGAUUUUGAAUUUUAGCGGUCUAAAAUAACAGCAGAGAAAAUUUCGAUGCUUUAGUACUUUACAGUAAUAAGUGUGUAUUAACAAGUGCGUUAGGAAAAUCUUAUUAGAUUAUUAUAGCAGUUACAAUUGAUUCAAGUGCUAAUUCGCUUGCCCUGUUUCUUUAUAACUCUGUUCUGUUAUCUUCAAGAGAAUUAAAAACAAAAAUAUUCCUUCGAAGAAACGGUUUGAUGUGAUUUGUUGCGAUACUAUAUACUGCAACAACUUUUCAUUAAAUUUGUUUCUACAAAUUUCCCUAUCAUUUAGUAGAAGAAGAGAAAUGUGUAAAUUUAAGUAAA
This 7974-nucleotide long non-coding RNA is filed under the name Varroa destructor (honeybee mite). RNAcentral describes it as "uncharacterized LOC111255357, transcript variant X1". Lineage: Eukaryota; Metazoa; Arthropoda; Arachnida; Mesostigmata; Varroidae. The record is from RNAcentral.